Molecule: long non-coding RNA, 1068 nt
Organism: Drosophila pseudoobscura
Lineage: Eukaryota; Metazoa; Arthropoda; Insecta; Diptera; Drosophilidae
Exons: 2
Source: RefSeq, a predicted model, not a curated record
GCCUUUGUAGUGAUUAGAAAAUAUAAAUACAUUAAUGGAAUUAAAGUUCGAGUUUAAUAUAACAAAUAAAGUACAAAUCAACGUACAUACAUAUAUGUAUGUAUAAACAAAUUUAUAAUAAUAAGACAGGUUAGACUACCGGCACAGAUCUCAGCUCUCGUUAGUGUUUUGUGUUUCCGCUCUAUGACGAACAUAUGUACAUAUAUAUUUAUAUACAUCAGUACAUUCAUAGACCGGUUCGGUUCCUUUUGAAUAAUAGAACAAUGGAUAACAAAAAUUUAAGUAAAUUCUUUAAUAGUUUUAUGCAAAAGAUAUUUUUUAUGCAAUCUUUGACUUGUUAUUGUUAUCGGAACUAUACAAUUUUCUCUCCCAUCACUAGAAGUAGAACAUCAAUGAACGCAAGAAACAAAUAAUUAGUUUUCCUACGUUUUGAUUUGGAGGCGGCAUCGUUUCGUUUUAUCCCACUCCUUCAAAAUUGUGGAUCCCACGGAUUUUUGUCCUUUGUGUGUGGGCAGAAGGCGCCGGGGCGAAAUUUUUAAAUACAAUACAAUACAAUAAAAUUAAAAGACCAAGCGACGCGAUGGUCAUACGCGCGGAACCCAGAUCCCAAAUAUCGAUAUCAGAUUGAAGGGAGCAGACGCAAAACGCGCGUCGGUUAAACUGCGGUGGAAAACCAAACCAAGUUGUGGAAUUGGCGCCAAAGUUAGUGUGGAAAUGCGAAAUUUCCCAAAAAACAUUUGGCAGCCCCGAUACAAAAUCCUAACACAUUCUUGCAAUAGGCAAGUGUGCUCAAAUCUAUUGCAUCAAGCAAAAACGCAAGAAAAGAUCCGGACUUACUUCCGACUUACACAUAUACACAAUCAAUAUAUUCAGCAAAAGAAGUUAGACACUAGACAAAGUAAGAAACGUUUGAAACUUGAUUGAAAAGUUGGUAUAGAAUCAGAUAAGGCUAAAAUCGUGUAUUCAUAUUUUAUCGGGUUGAAAAUGAUACCUUCAUUCAAGAAAAUAUAAAAUACCAAAAAAAAUAAAUACAUAUAUAUGUUUGCUAUGCCCAUUAACGCAAGAUAA